UCCGUAGGUGGAUAAUUAAGUCAGGGGUGAAAGUCUGCAGCUCAACUGUAGAAUUGCCCUUGAUACUGGUUGUCUUGAGUCAUUAUGAAGUAGUUAGAAUAUGUAGUGUAGCGGUGAAAUGCAUAGAUAUUACAUAGAAUACCAAUUGCGAAGGCAGAUUACUAAUAAUGUACUGACACUGAUGGAAGAAAGCGUGGGGAGCGAACAGGAUUAGAUACCCUGGUAGUCC
Molecule: ribosomal RNA, 229 nt
Filed under: uncultured bacterium
Lineage: Bacteria
Description: partial 16S ribosomal RNA
Rfam family: Bacterial small subunit ribosomal RNA
Source: RNAcentral